GACGAACGCUGGCGGCGUGCCUAAUACAUGCAAGUCGAACGCUUCUUUCCUCCCGAGUGCUUGCACUCAAUUGGAAAGAGGAGUGGCGGACGGGUGAGUAACACGUGGGUAACCUACCCAUCAGAGGGGGAUAACACUUGGAAACAGGUGCUAAUACCGCAUAACAGUUUAUGCCGCAUGGCAUAAGAGUGAAAGGCGCUUUCGGGGGUCGCUGAUGGAUGGACCCGCGGUGCAUUAGCUAGUUGGUGAGGUAACGGCUCACCAAGGCCACGAUGCAUAGCCGACCUGAGAGGGGGAUCGGCCACACUGGGACUGAGACACGGCCCAGACUCCUACGGGAGGCAGCAGUAGGGAAUCUUCGGCAAUGGACGAAAGUCUGACCGAGCAACGCCGCGUGAGUGAAGAAGGUGUUCGGAUCGUAAAACUCUGUUGUUAGAGAAGAACAAGGACGUUAGUAACUGAACGUCCCCUGACGGUAUCUAACCAGAAAGCCACGGCUAACUACGUG
RNAcentral lists this ribosomal RNA (508 nucleotides) under uncultured bacterium. RNAcentral describes it as "partial 16S ribosomal RNA". It matches the Rfam family "Bacterial small subunit ribosomal RNA", at positions 28 to 507 of the family's 1533-position model. The record is from RNAcentral.